Molecule: signal recognition particle RNA, 318 nt
Filed under: Candidatus Bathyarchaeota archaeon ex4484_40
Lineage: Archaea; Thermoproteati; Candidatus Bathyarchaeota
Description: signal recognition particle sRNA
Rfam family: Archaeal signal recognition particle RNA
Source: RNAcentral
GCGGCAGGUAGGGCUGGGGAGCUAGCCCUUCCCUACAACCCGAAAUGGGCUACAUGCGGGGGCCAGUAACCCAGCGGGGCGCCUGCGGAGGAGGAGGCACAGCAGGCAGCCGACGGAUGAGAGCGCGCCCACACGGGGCCUCGUAGGAGUCUGCCUCACCCGUAGGGGUGGGCUCCAGCCUCCGAGCACGCCGAACCGCGUUAGGCCCGGGAGGGAGCGGCGCUAAGGCGUGGCGGGGCCGCUGUGUGGUUACGUGCUGGACGUUCGGCUGCUCUGCCCCGGCCUCUUCUUCCCUCGCCACCUGCUGGGGGCUGCCGC